Molecule: ribosomal RNA, 430 nt
Filed under: Pseudomonadota bacterium
Lineage: Bacteria; Pseudomonadati; Pseudomonadota
Description: Proteobacteria bacterium partial 16S ribosomal RNA
Rfam family: Bacterial small subunit ribosomal RNA
Source: RNAcentral
UGGGGAAUAUUGGACAAUGGGGGGAACCCUGAUCCAGCCAUGCCGCGUGUGUGAAGAAGGCCUUAUGGUUGUAAAGCACUUUAAGCGAGGAGGAGGGUACUGGUAUUAAUACUACCAGCUACUGGACGUUACUCGCAGAAUAAGCACCGGCUAACUCUGUGCCAGCAGCCGCGGUAAUACAGAGGGUGCGAGCGUUAAUCGGAUUUACUGGGCGUAAAGCGUGCGUAGGCGGCUAAUUGAGUCGGAUGUGAAAUCCCCGAGCUUAACUUGGGAAUUGCAUUCGAUACUGGGAAGCUAGAGUAUGGGAGAGGAUGGUAGAAUUCCAGGUGUAGCGGUGAAAUGCGUAGAGAUCUGGAGGAAUACCGAUGGCGAAGGCAGCCAUCUGGCCUAAUACUGACGCUGAGGUACGAAAGCAUGGGGAGCAAACAGG